GAUGAACGCUGGCGGCGUGCUUAACACAUGCAAGUCGAAUGAAGCACUUUAUUUGAUUUCCUUCGGGACUGAUUAUUUUGUGACUGAGUGGCGGACGGGUGAGUAACGCGUGGGUAACCUGCCUUGUACAGGGGGAUAACAGUUGGAAACGGCUGCUAAUACCGCAUAAGCGCACGGCAUCGCAUGAUGCAGUGUGAAAAACUCCGGUGGUAUAAGAUGGACCCGCGUUGGAUUAGCUAGUUGGUGAGGUAACGGCCCACCAAGGCGACGAUCCAUAGCCGACCUGAGAGGGUGACCGGCCACAUUGGGACUGAGACACGGCCCAAACUCCUACGGGAGGCAGCAGUGGGGAAUAUUGCACAAUGGGCGAAAGCCUGAUGCAGCGACGCCGCGUGAGCGAAGAAGUAUUUCGGUAUGUAAAGCUCUAUCAGCAGGGAAGAUAAUGACGGUACCUGACUAAGAAGCACCGGCUAAAUACGUG
Molecule: ribosomal RNA, 481 nt
Filed under: uncultured bacterium
Lineage: Bacteria
Description: partial 16S ribosomal RNA
Rfam family: Bacterial small subunit ribosomal RNA
Source: RNAcentral